UCCGGGGUAGCUCAACUGGCAGACGCGCUCGGCUGUUAACCGAGAGGUUGUGGGUUCGAGUCCCACCCCCGGAG
Molecule: transfer RNA, 74 nt
Filed under: Actinomycetota bacterium
Lineage: Bacteria; Bacillati; Actinomycetota
Also listed under: 1 other name
Description: tRNA-Asn
Rfam family: tRNA
About the family: Transfer RNA (tRNA) molecules are approximately 80 nucleotides in length. Their secondary structure includes four short double-helical elements and three loops (D, anti-codon, and T loops).
Source: RNAcentral